Molecule: ribosomal RNA, 253 nt
Filed under: uncultured prokaryote
Description: partial 16S ribosomal RNA
Rfam family: Bacterial small subunit ribosomal RNA
Source: RNAcentral
GACGUAGGAUGCAAGCGUUGUCCGGAUUUAUUGGGCGUAAAGAGUUCGUAGGCGGUUCGUUAAGUCUGAUGUUAAAGACUGGGGCUCAACCCCGGGAGUGCAUUGGAUACUGGCGGACUGGAGUGUGGUAGAGGCUAGUGGAAUUCCCAGUGUAGCGGUGAAAUGCGUAGAUAUUGGGAAGAACACCGGUGGUGUAGACGGCUCUCUGGACCAUAACUGACGCUGAGACACGAAAGCGUGGGUAGCAAACAGG